RNAcentral lists this unclassified non-coding RNA (323 nucleotides) under soil metagenome. Its description in RNAcentral is "partial contains 5.8S ribosomal RNA, internal transcribed spacer 2, and large subunit ribosomal RNA". The stretch from base 1 to 120 matches the Rfam family "5.8S ribosomal RNA", at positions 35 to 154 of the family's 154-position model. The record is from RNAcentral.
GAUGAAGAACGCAGCGAAAUGCGAUAAGUAGUGUGAAUUGCAGAAUUCAGUGAAUCAUCGAAUCUUUGAACGCACAUUGCGCCCCUUGGUAUUCCAUGGGGCAUGCCUGUUCGAGCGUCAUUUGUACCUUCAAGCUUUGCUUGGUGUUGGGUGUUUGUCCUGAGGGACUCGCCUUAAAGUAAUUGGCAGCCAGUGUUUGGUUUUGAAGCGCAGCACAAGUCGCGAUUCAAAGCUAUACGCCCGCUUCCACAAGCCUUUUUCACUUUUGACCUCGGGUCAGGUAGGGAUACCCGCUGAACUUAAGCAUAUCAAUAAGCGGAGGA